This is a long non-coding RNA of Acyrthosiphon pisum (pea aphid), 215 nucleotides long. RefSeq lists it as uncharacterized. The transcript has 2 exons. The record is from RefSeq and is a predicted model, not a curated record. NCBI's taxonomy places the organism in Eukaryota, Metazoa, Arthropoda, Insecta, Hemiptera, Aphididae.
UAAUAUAAAAAUUGUUUUUCUAGCGCAAUGAUCAAUGUCAAAUUGAAUCUAAAAUUCAACAAUCAACAUGAUUGAAUAUAUAACCUCAACAUCAAUAAUGAAAAGCUGAAAUCUUGAAGCAGUACAUCCAACUAAGAAGUAUUCUGUAGUUCCAAUUAUAGUAAUUUAAAAUCCCAUGAAAAAUUGUAUGACCCAAGCAGGUUAACGAGAAAAAA